Molecule: ribosomal RNA, 253 nt
Filed under: uncultured bacterium
Lineage: Bacteria
Description: partial 16S ribosomal RNA
Rfam family: Bacterial small subunit ribosomal RNA
Source: RNAcentral
UACGAAGGGCCCAAGCGUUAUCCGGAUUUAUUGGGUUUAAAGGGUGCGUAGGCGGACUAUUAAGUCAGUGGUGAAAGCCCCAAGCUUAACUUGGGAACUGCCAUUGAUACUGAUGGUCUUGAGUACAUUUGAGGUGGGCGGAAUGUGUCAUGUAGCGGUGAAAUGCUUAGAUAUGACACAGAACACCGAUUGCGAAGGCAGCUCACUAAACUGUAACUGACGCUGAGGCACGAAAGCGUGGGGAGCAAACAGG